Molecule: long non-coding RNA, 295 nt
Filed under: Moschus moschiferus (Siberian musk deer)
Lineage: Eukaryota; Metazoa; Chordata; Mammalia; Artiodactyla; Moschidae
Description: lncRNA (ENSMMSG00000020998.1)
Source: RNAcentral
CGCAAAGACAUCACUCCCGAUAGGCCUCGGGAGUGGAAGCCAGGUGCCUUGUGGGAGAUGUAGUUCUUCAGGCGCGGGAGAAGCGGCCCUCGGCCAGCGGGGGACUCGGUUUCCCAAAGGGCUGAGCGCGGCUCAAGAUGGAGGCAGCCAGGCCGAAGUGAGCCGCCAGUCACCGAGCCGCUGAGCAGAGCCGUGCCCCGCGGGCCUUUGCCACCAAGAACCUUCGUCAGCAUUCACCCCACCUGCCCUCCAGCGUCCAGCAGGUGCCCAUCAGACAGGGAGGUGUGGCGUGGCU